Paramisgurnus dabryanus is the source of this 1347-nucleotide long non-coding RNA. RefSeq lists it as uncharacterized. Lineage: Eukaryota; Metazoa; Chordata; Actinopteri; Cypriniformes; Cobitidae. The record is from RefSeq and is a predicted model, not a curated record.
ACUUUCUCAGAUUAUGGCCAGCAAUAUUGUUAUGUUUAAGGACAUUAUGGAAUUAAGAUAUAUCAGUACUAUGUUAUGAUUGUACUGUAUAAUUAAAUACAAUCGUUGCUGAGUCUGCAGUCUGAACACUUUACCUCAGAGCGUCCGUAAACUGAAUGAAUUUAGGAUAUCACCUGAAAAUCCAAUAUCAACCAAUUUUCAUGAAAGUAGCUCAUUUCUGUAAAUGAAUGUAAAAUUUAAUGUACAUUACAGCACAUGGUGAAGUCUGUAUAUACAUUAACGACGAAUUUGAGACAAAUAAGUGUAAAUUUAAAACUAUGUACAUGGCGCUCGGCGCCGCAGACAGACGCAAAAUGGCGCCGCCGGUACACACACAUACUGUACCCUGUCUCUUCGUUCCCUAGCUCCCGAGGUCGUGAAUCAGUUUAUCAUGUACACAGGUUCGGGCACUGGUCUGUUUAAAUGGACAGCUUUGUCACUGAUAAGCUAACUGAGUGGCGGCUGUUUGAGCUGACAGAGACAUUUUUGAGGCCAUCUACAGGGUUGAGAAGAAGACUAUCCGGCAUUCCACUGAAGAGUCCCUGACAGCGUUCAUACACCAAAUGUCUGUUGGAACAAAUAUGGUGGAAUACAGUGGCGGCUCGUGACUGCUCAUCAGAGGAUGCGCUAAUUCAAAAUAAGUGUUCAGAUUGUCACGUGUGUGGUUCCCUUUUCCAAAAUAUGUGUCCUGCGUGUCGAGAGAUCCUGUGUGCAUCACGUGUUUUGUCAAAAUAAGUGCCUGCUGCACACGCGUCAAAACCGUUUAUGAUAAAAGAGACGCUCAUGUUUCUAAAAUACACGCCAGACACUUCCUUAACAGUAAACUCUUACUACGCAUGAGAUUAUGCGAGUAUCUGGCAAACGCGAGCAUCCGUUUUAUCAUAAACCCUUUAAACGCGUCUGCAGCAGGAACUUAUUUUGACAUGACACGUGAUGCACACAGGAUCUCUCGAUGGGGAGAACACAUAUUUUAAAAUUACAAACCACACACAUGACAAGCUACAUACAUGUUGUGACGAACUUUGCAUCGAGCAUCCUCGAAUAAAGAGGUCAACCGGCCAGCACUGGUGGAAUACCUUCAGCAAUCCCAGCCGUUCCCCUCUGGGAGAUCUCAAGCUGCACACAACCAAUGUUUGAAGACUUAAAGCCUCAAGUUCAAUCCAAUUAUUGAAUGUUGUCAAAUGUUUGAGAGUUGUUUAUUAUUCUAUUUUUCCUUUCUAAUGUUAUUACAGUGUGACCUAAAAUAAAUAGGUCCAAGUGUGCAUUUUUAUAUAGAAUUUAAUUGAAUCCAAUAAAAAUUUAAAACUG